Molecule: ribosomal RNA, 292 nt
Filed under: uncultured bacterium
Lineage: Bacteria
Description: partial 16S ribosomal RNA
Rfam family: Bacterial small subunit ribosomal RNA
Source: RNAcentral
GUGCCAGCAGCCGCGGUAAUACGUAGGGUGCAAGCGUUGUCCGGAAUUAUUGGGCGUAAAGAGCUCGUAGGCGGUCUGUCGCGUCGGCUGUGAAAACUCGGGGCUCAACCCCGAGCCUGCAGUCGAUACGGGCAGACUAGAGUGCUGUAGGGGAGACUGGAAUUCCUGGUGUAGCGGUGAAAUGCGCAGAUAUCAGGAGGAACACCGGUGGCGAAGGCGGGUCUCUGGGCAGUAACUGACGCUGAGGAGCGAAAGCGUGGGGAGCGAACAGGAUUAGAUACCCUGGUAGUCC